RNAcentral lists this long non-coding RNA (1319 nucleotides) under Heterocephalus glaber (naked mole-rat). RNAcentral's name for it is "lncRNA (ENSHGLG00100048307.1)". Lineage: Eukaryota; Metazoa; Chordata; Mammalia; Rodentia; Bathyergidae. The record is from RNAcentral.
GUCUCUCUUAAUCAGUGUUGGUUUGAAGUCUACUUGAUCUGCAAAGAGGAUAGCUACUCCUGCUUUUUUUCAGGUUCCUGUUGCAUGGAGUAUUGUUUUCCACCCUUUAACUUUCAGUCUAUGAGUUUCCUUUUGAAUGAAGUGUGUUACUUGUAUGCAGCAUAUUGUUGGAUUUUCCUUCUUGACCCAUUCUACCAGUCUAUUUCUUUUGCUUGAUGAAUUGAGACCAUUAAUGUUGAUGGUUAUAACUGAAACGUAUUGACUUGUCAUUCCCAUGACUUUUUCUUUUUGUUGGGUUCUCCUCCUUUACAUUUAAUUUCUUGUCAUGCCAGAUGAGUUCAUUCUGCUUUUCUUACUGGGGUUGUGAUUCUCAAUGUCUGUUCCUAGGAUAUUGUGUAAAAUUAUUUGGAGUGGUGGUUUGGUAUUCACGAGGUUCCUAAGGUGCUCUUUGUCAUGCAAGUAUCUUACUCCUCUAUCAGUUUUGAAAGAUAGUUUUGCAGGGUACAUCAAUCUGGGUUGGAGGCUGUUUUCUUUUAGGGCUUGGAAUAUGUCACUCCAAGCUCUUCUUGUCUUGAUGGUUUGUGUUGAGAAGUCUGGUGUGAUUCUGAUGGGCUUUCCUUUGUAUGUGAUUUGUUUCUUUUCUCUAACUCCUUAUAGAACUUUGUUCUUCUGUUGUGUUUCUGGAAUCUUAACAAUUAUAUGCCUAUGUGUAGAUUUUCUUUGAUCAAGGCUAUUUGGAGUCCUAUAUGCCUCACUUAUGUGUAUGUCAAGUUCUUUUCCCCUGCUUGGGAUGUUUUCCGCCAUUACUUCUGUGAAGAGUUUUGUUAUGUCAUCUGCACUGUCUUCUGUUUCUUCAUUUACGCCAAUCAAUCUUAUGUUAUUCUUCUUUGCAUUGUAUAGCAGCUGCUGGAUUGAUUUCUCACGUUCCCUUAUAAUUUUGAAGCAAUUUUUCUUUUCCUUGUCACUAAUUGCAAUCUUAUCUUCUAUAUCUGAAAUUCUGUCCUCACAUUGGCUCAUUCUGCUGUGUUUUUCAUGUCCUGGAAAUCUAUUUGCAUCUGUUUUAUGGAGCCCAUUUGUUUCCUAUGUUGGGAUUCCAUCAUGUUCCUCAGCUCCUCUCUAGAUUUAUUAAUCAUGUCUUGCAUUAGGAGCAUAAUUUUUCCUGUUAUCUGAGAAAUUAUUUCUGAUUUCAUUUUUUCCAGAUCCCCUUUUGUUGCCAGUUCAGUGGGUCGAGGUGGUUGAGUAUCAGAGUGUUCCAUCUCAUUUCCCUUUGGGGUUGCUGUAGGCGAUCUGGAAGUCUGGUUUUGAGACUUAUGUACGUG